AGGACGAACGCUGGCGGCGUGCUUAACACAUGCAAGUCGAACGGUUUAUAAGGGCUUGCCCUUAUAGAUAGUGGUGAACGGGUGCGUAACACGUGAGCAACCUGCCCCAAAGUUUGGAAUAACACCGGGAAACCGAUGCUAAUACCAGAUGCCCUCCUCUGAUCGCAUGAUCGGUUGAGGAAAGUUUUUCGCUUCGGGAGGGCUCGCGGCCUAUCAGCUUGUUGGUGAGGUAACGGCUCACCAAGGCUUCGACGGGUAGCUGGUCUGAGAGGACGAUCAGCCACACUGGGACUGAGACACGGCCCAGACUCCUACGGGAGGCAGC
RNAcentral lists this ribosomal RNA (325 nucleotides) under uncultured prokaryote. Its description in RNAcentral is "bacterial SSU rRNA". It matches the Rfam family "Bacterial small subunit ribosomal RNA", at positions 26 to 352 of the family's 1533-position model. The record is from RNAcentral.